GAGUUUGAUCAUGGCUCAGAACGUACGCUGGCGGCACGCCUAACACAUGCAAGUCGAACGAAGUAGCAAUACUUAGUGGCAGACGGGUGAGUAACAUGUAGGUAUCUGCCCUUUGGCCUGGAAUAACACGAGGAAACUUGUGCUAAUACCGGAUAAGUCUUUACGGAGAAAGCUUUAUGCACCAUUGGAUGANCCUNCACUUGAUUAGUUUGUUGGUGGGGUAAUGNCCUACCAAGACUGUGAUCAAUAGCUGAUUUGAGAGGAUGAUCAGCCACAUUGGGACUGAG
RNAcentral lists this ribosomal RNA (287 nucleotides) under uncultured bacterium. RNAcentral describes it as "partial 16S ribosomal RNA". It matches the Rfam family "Bacterial small subunit ribosomal RNA", at positions 9 to 323 of the family's 1533-position model. The record is from RNAcentral.